UACGGGGGGAGCAAGCGUUGUUCGGAUUUACUGGGCGUAAAGGGCGCGUAGGCGGCCAGCACAAGUCAGUUGUGAAAUCUCCGAGCUUAACUCGGAAAGGUCAACUGAUACUGUGUGGCUAGAGUGCAGAAGGGGCAACUGGAAUUCUCGGUGUAGCGGUGAAAUGCGUAGAUAUCGAGAGGAACACCUGCGGCGAAGGCGGGUUGCUGGGCUGAUACUGACGCUGAGGCGCGAAAGCUAGGGGAGCGAACGGG
RNAcentral lists this ribosomal RNA (254 nucleotides) under uncultured bacterium. RNAcentral describes it as "partial 16S ribosomal RNA". It matches the Rfam family "Bacterial small subunit ribosomal RNA", at positions 524 to 776 of the family's 1533-position model. The record is from RNAcentral.